GGCGAGAUGGCCGAGCGGUCUAAGGCGCCAGACUAAGGUAUUCCAACCAAAUCUGGUCCGAAAGGGCGUGGGUUCGAAUCCCACUCUCGUCA
Cubamyces sp. BRFM 1775 is the source of this 92-nucleotide non-coding RNA. The record is from the annotation of a GenBank genome assembly. NCBI's taxonomy places the organism in Eukaryota, Fungi, Basidiomycota, Agaricomycetes, Polyporales, Polyporaceae.